This 1477-nucleotide ribosomal RNA is filed under the name Solanum arcanum. Its description in RNAcentral is "bacterial SSU rRNA". The stretch from base 2 to 1008 matches the Rfam family "Eukaryotic small subunit ribosomal RNA", at positions 4 to 1116 of the family's 1831-position model. Lineage: Eukaryota; Viridiplantae; Streptophyta; Magnoliopsida; Solanales; Solanaceae. The record is from RNAcentral.
CUUGGUUGAUCCUGCCAGUUGUCAUAUACUUGUCCUAAAGAUUAAUCCAUGCAUGUGUAAGUAUAAACAAACUCAGACUGUGAAACUGCGAAUGUCUCAUUAAAUCAGUUAUACUGUGUUUUAUGGUAUAUACUACUCGGAGAACCAUUGUAGUUCUAGAGAUAAUUCGUGCCACAAACCCUGACUUCUUAAAGGGAUGUAUCUAUUAGAUAAAAGGUCAACGUCGGCUCUGCCUGUUGCUGCAAUGAUUCAUGAAAACUCGAUGGAUCGCAUGGCCAUCGUGUCGGCGACGUAUCAUUCAAAUUUCUGACCUAUCAACUUUUGAUGGAAGGAUAUUGGCCUACCAUGGUGGUGAUGGGUGAUAGAGAAUCAGGGUUCGAUUCUGUAGAGGGAGCCUUAGAAACGACUACCACAUCCACGGAAGGAAACAAGUGGUAAUUACCCAAUGCUGACACAGGGAGGUAGUGUCAGUUAUAACAAUACUGCGCUCAAUGUGUUUGGUAAUUAGAAUGAGUACAAUCGAAAUCCCUUAACGAGGAUCCAUUGGAGGGCAAGUCUGGUGCCAGCAGCCGCGGUAAUUCCAGCUCCAAUAGCGUAUAUUUAAGUUGUUGCAGAUAAAAAGCUCGUAGUUGGACUUUGGGAUGGGCCGGACGGUCCACCCUAGGUUCACACCGGUCUUCUCGUCACUUCUAUCAGCGAUCUGAUUGUAGUCUUAAUUUGUCGGGUCAUGCCUCCGGCGCUGUUACUCUAAAGAAAUUAGAGUGGUCAAAGCAAUCCUACGCUCUGUGUACAUUACCAUGGGAUAACAUUAUACGAUUUCAGCCCUAUUAUGUUUGACUUAAGGAUAAGAUUAAUGAUUAACAUGAACAGUCGGGGGCAUUUAUAUUUCAUAGUCAUAUGAUAUAUCACAAACGACUAUCAAAAAUGGAUAUAUCGGCUCUCGCAUUAAUAAAUAACGUACUGAAAUGCGAUACUUGGUGUGAAUUGUAGAAUCCCGUGAACUUUCUAGUCUUUUAACACAAGUUGUGCCCGAAGACAUUAAACUGAGGGCACGUCUGCCUGGGCGUUAUGCAUCGCGUUGCCCCUCGCACGCCGCAAGGAUCGCGCAGGGGCGAAAUAUUUUCUCCCGUGCAUUCAGAGCGCGUGGUUCGCGUAAAUGCGAGUCCAUAUUGACGUAUGUUCAGACAAGUGGUGGUUGAAACUCAACUCUCUCUUGUUUUCGUUGCUAAAGCCUAUCACGCAUCAAGACUCCCAGACCCUCACUACGCCUUGUAUGGCGCUUCAACCUCGACCCCAGGUCAUGCAAGAUUACCAAUUGAGUAUAAGCAUAUCAUAAGCGAAGGAAAAUAAACUUACAAGGAUUCCCUUUGUAACGACGAGCAAAUCGGGAAUAGCCCAUCCUUAGAUUCGGGUGGCUCCAUCGUUCGAAUUAUAGUCUGGAGAAGUUUCCUCAGCGGUGCCUCCACAAGCAAAAAUU